GAUGAACGCUGGCGGCGUGCCUAAUACAUGCAAGUCGAGCGAACAGACGGGGAGCUUGCUCCUCUGACGUUAGCGGCGGACGGGUGAGUAACACGUGGAUAACCUACCUAUAAGACUGGGAUAACUUCGGGAAACCGGAGCUAAUACCGGAUAAUAUAUUGAACCGCAUGGUUCAAUAGUGAAAGACGGUUUUGCUGUCACUUAUAGAUGGAUCCGCGCCGCAUUAGCUAGUUGGUAAGGUAACGGCUUACCAAGGCAACGAUGCGUAGCCGACCUGAGAGGGUGAUCGGCCACACUGGAACUGAGACACGGUCCAGACUCCUACGGGAGGCAGCAGUAGGGAAUCUUCCGCAAUGGGUGAAAGCCUGACGGAGCAACGCCGCGUGAGUGAUGAAGGUCUUCGGAUCGUAAAACUCUGUUAUUAGGGAAGAACAAAUGUGUAAGUAACUAUGCACGUCUUGACGGUACCUAAUCAGAAAGCCACGGCUAACUACGUGC
This 498-nucleotide ribosomal RNA is filed under the name uncultured bacterium. RNAcentral describes it as "bacterial SSU rRNA". It matches the Rfam family "Bacterial small subunit ribosomal RNA", at positions 28 to 508 of the family's 1533-position model. The record is from RNAcentral.